This 70-nucleotide transfer RNA is filed under the name Proscyllium habereri (graceful catshark). Its description in RNAcentral is "tRNA-Phe". It matches the Rfam family "tRNA". Rfam says of the family: Transfer RNA (tRNA) molecules are approximately 80 nucleotides in length. Their secondary structure includes four short double-helical elements and three loops (D, anti-codon, and T loops). Lineage: Eukaryota; Metazoa; Chordata; Chondrichthyes; Carcharhiniformes; Proscylliidae. The record is from RNAcentral.
GCUAACGUAGCUUAAUUUAAAGUAUGGCACUGAAGAUGCUAAGAUGAAAAAUCAUAUUUUUCCGCAGGCA